Molecule: transfer RNA, 73 nt
Filed under: Loxodonta africana (African savanna elephant)
Lineage: Eukaryota; Metazoa; Chordata; Mammalia; Proboscidea; Elephantidae
Description: tRNA-Lys (CTT) (tRNA-Lys-CTT-14-1)
Rfam family: tRNA
About the family: Transfer RNA (tRNA) molecules are approximately 80 nucleotides in length.
Source: Rfam by way of RNAcentral
GUCCAGCUAGCUCAGUCGGUAGAGCAUGAGACUCUUAAUCUCAGGGUUGUGUGUUUGAGCUCCAUGUUGGAUG